RNAcentral lists this ribosomal RNA (687 nucleotides) under uncultured Ascomycota. RNAcentral describes it as "LSU rRNA". It matches the Rfam family "Eukaryotic large subunit ribosomal RNA", at positions 399 to 1108 of the family's 3401-position model. Lineage: Eukaryota; Fungi; Ascomycota. The record is from RNAcentral.
GUGAAAUUGUUGAAAGGGAAGCGCUUGCAACCAGACCUGCCUGCAGUUGCUCAUCCGGGCUUUUGCCCGGUGCACUCUUCUGCUGUCAGGCCAGCAUCGGUUCGGGCGGUCGGAUAAAGGCUUCGGGAAUGUAGCUCCUCUCGAGGAGUGUUAUAGCCCGUUGCGAAAUGCGGCCAGCCUGAACUGAGGUCCGCGCUUCGGCUAGGAUGCUGGCGUAAUGGUUGUAAGCGGCCCGUCUUGAAACACGGACCAAGGAGUCUAACAUCUGUGCGAGUGUUUGGGUGUCAAACCCGUACGCGUAAUGAAAGUGAACGGAGGCGGGAACCCCUCGGGGUGCACCGUCGACCGAUCCUGAUGUCUUCGGAUGGAUUUGAGUAAGAGCAUAGCUGUUGGGACCCGAAAGAUGGUGAACUAUGCCUGAAUAGGGUGAAGCCAGAGGAAACUCUGGUGGAGGCUCGCAGCGGUUCUGACGUGCAAAUCGAUCGUCAAAUUUGGGCAUAGGGGCGAAAGACUAAUCGAACUAUCUAGUAGCUGGUUCCUGCCGAAGUUUCCCUCAGGAUAGCAGUAACGUUUUCAGUUUUAUGAGGUAAAGCGAAUGAUUAGAGGCCUGGGGGUUGAAACAACCUUCACCUAUUCUCAAACUUUAAAUAUGUAAGAAGUCCUUGUUGCUUAGUUGAACGUGGACAU